GAUGAACGCUGGCGGCGUGCCUAAUACAUGCAAGUCGAACGCUGGAGAUCUAGCUUGCUAGAUCGAAGGAGUGGCGAACGGGUGAGUAAUACAUAAGCAACCUACCCACGAAGACUGGGAUAAUCUCUGGAAGCGGGGACUAAUACCGGAUAGGUAAUCGGAAGGCAUCUUCUGGUUAUUAAAGGUUAAAAACACUGGUGGAUGGGCUUAUGGCGCAUUAGUUAGUUGGUGAGGUAACGGCCCACCAAGACGAUGAUGCGUAGCCGGCCUGAGAGGGUGAACGGCCACAUUGGGACUGGGACACGGCCCAGACUCCUACGGGAGGCAGCAGUAGGGAAUUUUCGGCAAUGGGGGCAACCCUGACCGAGCAACGCCGCGUGAGUGAAGACGGCCUUCGGGUUGUAAAGCUCUGUUGUAAGGGAAGAACGGUAGAUAGAGAAUAUCUAAGUGACGGUACCUUACCAGAAAGCCACGGCUAACUACGU
RNAcentral lists this ribosomal RNA (485 nucleotides) under uncultured bacterium. Its description in RNAcentral is "partial 16S ribosomal RNA". It matches the Rfam family "Bacterial small subunit ribosomal RNA", at positions 28 to 506 of the family's 1533-position model. The record is from RNAcentral.